Molecule: ribosomal RNA, 230 nt
Filed under: uncultured bacterium
Lineage: Bacteria
Description: partial 16S ribosomal RNA
Rfam family: Bacterial small subunit ribosomal RNA
Source: RNAcentral
UGGGCAACCUGCCCUCAGCUCUGGGAUAACCCCGGGAAACCGGGGCUAAUACCGGAUACGACCUUCUCUGGCAUCAGGGGUGGUGGAAAGUUCUUCGGCUGAGGAUGGGCCCGCGGCCUAUCAGCUUGUUGGUGGGGUCACGGCCCACCAAGGCGGCGACGGGUAGCCGGCCUGAGAGGGCGACCGGCCACACUGGGACUGAGACACGGCCCAGACUCCUACGGGAGGCA